RNAcentral lists this ribosomal RNA (256 nucleotides) under uncultured prokaryote. RNAcentral's name for it is "partial 16S ribosomal RNA". It matches the Rfam family "Bacterial small subunit ribosomal RNA", at positions 522 to 777 of the family's 1533-position model. The record is from RNAcentral.
AAUACAGGGGGUGCAAACGUUGCUCGGAAUCAUUGGGCGUAAAGCGCGCGUAGGCGGUUGCUUAAGUCGGAUGUGAAAGCCCCUGGCUCAACUGGGGAAGUGCACCCGAAACUGAGCAGCUGGAGUACGAAAGAGGGUCGCGGAAUUCCCGGUGUAGAGGUGAAAUUCGUAGAUAUCGGGAGGAACACCGGUGGCGAAGGCGGCGACCUGGGUCGAUACUGACGCUGAUGCGCGAAAGCGUGGGGAGCAAACAGGA